CCUGGGGAGUACGGUCGCAAGAUUAAAACUCAAAGGAAUUGACGGGGACCCGCACAAGCGGUGGAUGAUGUGGAUUAAUUCGAUGCAACGCGAAAAACCUUACCUACCCUUGACAUGGCUGGAAUCCUCGAGAGAUUGGGGAGUGCUCGAAAGAGAACCAGUACACAGGUGCUGCAUGGCUGUCGUCAGCUCGUGUCGUGAGAUGUUGGGUUAAGUCCCGCAACGAGCGCAACCCUUGUCAUUAGUUGCUACGAA
RNAcentral lists this ribosomal RNA (255 nucleotides) under Janthinobacterium lividum. Its description in RNAcentral is "partial 16S ribosomal RNA". It matches the Rfam family "Bacterial small subunit ribosomal RNA", at positions 872 to 1124 of the family's 1533-position model. The record is from RNAcentral. Lineage: Bacteria; Pseudomonadati; Pseudomonadota; Betaproteobacteria; Burkholderiales; Oxalobacteraceae.